AGUUUAUUGGAAACCUAAUUAAUACAGCUAAUAAUGUUUCAAAAUGCAGAUUAAAUAACUAAAUUCAGAUGCCCAUUUUAAGUGAUUUGAACUAAUCCUUAGUCACUGACUGUAAUGGCUAGAUCUUGGUUGAUUAUAAUGGAAAUUUAGAUACCUAGUACACCUGUGGACAUGCCCAGGUAGACAUUUAAGGGUAGGUGGCUUAGAAGAGAGGUGUAUUCCACUCUGUCUCUCUGGAUCAUGUUCUGAUGUUGUUAGAAUCAGUAGAGCUUGACCCCUAGCAAUAAAAUAAAAGAUCAGAUAGAACUAUUUUUCCCCAGUUCCAGGUUUAGAAUAUCUGGUGAAAUUCCAUACAUUCUGCAAAAAGACAUAAUUUAGUGGGUGCCAUAAGAAGACUAAGGCAACCAAUAAAGUUCUGCGCCUUCCUGAAUGAGUAUGAUUAUUCCUUACAUCAGUUACUGCAGAGUUCCUGAUGCAGCUCUGUCUGAUCCCACCACUGCCUUACUAAAAUCUGCAGUUUGCUGCUUGCGCACUGUUCUGUCCACAGGUUCCUGAGAAGAUCCAGCACGGAAAUAAAGCAGGAUCAAGGAGCUGGAACCCA
This 601-nucleotide long non-coding RNA is filed under the name Anas platyrhynchos platyrhynchos (common mallard). RNAcentral describes it as "lncRNA (ENSAPLG00000018759.1)". Lineage: Eukaryota; Metazoa; Chordata; Aves; Anseriformes; Anatidae. The record is from RNAcentral.